Molecule: long non-coding RNA, 231 nt
Filed under: Gossypium barbadense (sea-island cotton)
Lineage: Eukaryota; Viridiplantae; Streptophyta; Magnoliopsida; Malvales; Malvaceae
Description: long non-coding RNA (GBAR_LNC018373)
Source: RNAcentral
GUUGAUAUGCAACCUACAAUUUAAUCAGGUUAGGAUCUAAAUUGAGCAUACACAUUUUAAUUAUGUGUCCAUUAGCCGUCGUCUUGUUAGGAUCGCUCAGCUAAUUCAGGUGCAUUUCAAUCACGUAUGAAGGAAAUACAGACUUGAUUUUAAUUGAAAACAUGAUCGAUUGAGGGACAAACAUUAUACGCAUGAAUCAAAUAAAUAUUAUUUAAUUAAAAUAAUCAUCCU